RNAcentral lists this ribosomal RNA (696 nucleotides) under Triticum aestivum (bread wheat). RNAcentral's name for it is "partial small subunit ribosomal RNA". The record is from RNAcentral. Lineage: Eukaryota; Viridiplantae; Streptophyta; Magnoliopsida; Poales; Poaceae.
AUGGCGGUCGCUCAAAUUGAUUCAGUUGCAUGCUAUCUCGAGGAGCCAUCUUCACGUACACAUCACCAACCUCAUGAAGUUUCAGGGUUCAGUGUUGAGCUAGUACCAUUACCAUUCAGCGAUGUGAGUUCUCCUCAAGUUCCUUAUCGUCAGUCGAAUUCCAUGGACGAGUCUUUCUGUUGUUUGCCGGGUGCAAAGCUGCAGUUUGGGCACAAUAAACUACAGAUUAUGAGCAUGUCAGUACAAUGGCACUUUCUGAGCCAAGAGAAAUUAAAGGGGAGUGGUCGUUUUGAUAGUGAAUUCAGACCUGAACAAGUAGUUGAUGUUUCAAAAACAAGAAUUCAGUUUGCCGAGCUAAUCAGCCUGGAGUGUUGCUCCUUCAAGUGUGAACCAAAUUGCAUACCAUUUGUACUCUGGUGGAAAUACAAGUGUCUUCUUCUUUUGGUGGGAAUUCAACACAUGAUUCUAGUUCAUUUGUACUUUUUGCACAAGAUGACCAGUACUGAAGCUUUGGAAAAAGGUGAUUGUCAGCAUCUUAUAUCAACCAAUUGUGUUCCAGCAUAUCUGAAAUCAGAUGAAGUCUGUGUUGCUGCUAUUUGCAAGUUUGAUCAGGGAAAUUCUCAGGAAUGGGCAUUGAUACUUUGUUUCAAUCAGCGACCACUUCUUGUUUGUUCAGGUGCAUUGGAAUCUUUCUGA